This 403-nucleotide ribosomal RNA is filed under the name uncultured bacterium. RNAcentral describes it as "partial 16S ribosomal RNA". It matches the Rfam family "Bacterial small subunit ribosomal RNA", at positions 28 to 526 of the family's 1533-position model. The record is from RNAcentral.
GACGAACGCUGGCGGCGUGCCUAAUACAUGCAAGUCGAACGCAGUGGGGACGGGUGAGUAAAACGUGGGUAACCUCCCAUCAGAGGGGAAAACACUUGGAAACAGGUGCUAAACCGAUACUGAUGGAUGGACCCGCGGUGAAUGUGCUAGUUGGUGAGGUAACGGCUCACCAAGGCCACGAUGCAUAGCCGACCUGAGAGUGGGAUCGGCCACACUGGGACGGAGCCACGGCCCAGCUUCCUACGGGAGGCAGCAGUAGGGAAUCUGCGGCAAUGGACGAAAGUCUGACCGAGCAACGCCGCGUGAGUGAAGAAGGUUUUCGGAUCGGAAACCUCUGUUGUUAGAGAAGCGGUAUCUAAACAGAAAGCCACGGCUAACUACGUGCCAGCAGCCGCGGUAAUAC